GCCGCAAUGAUGGAAUGGCAUACGUGGGCGAUUCAAAAUCGCUUUUUUGUGAGUUCAAAUCUCACUUGCGGCACCA
RNAcentral lists this transfer RNA (76 nucleotides) under Bacteriophage sp. RNAcentral describes it as "tRNA-Leu". It matches the Rfam family "tRNA". From Rfam's summary of the family: Transfer RNA (tRNA) molecules are approximately 80 nucleotides in length. The record is from RNAcentral.